CCGCCCCUAGCUCAAUUGGUAGAGCGGGACCCUUUUAAGGUCACGGUUCCGGGUCCGAGUCCCGGGGGGCGGA
This 73-nucleotide transfer RNA is filed under the name bacterium. RNAcentral's name for it is "tRNA-Lys". It matches the Rfam family "tRNA". From Rfam's summary of the family: Transfer RNA (tRNA) molecules are approximately 80 nucleotides in length. Their secondary structure includes four short double-helical elements and three loops (D, anti-codon, and T loops). Further hydrogen bonds mediate the characteristic L-shaped molecular structure. tRNAs have two regions of fundamental functional importance: the anti-codon, which is responsible for specific mRNA codon recognition, and the 3' end, to which the tRNAs corresponding amino acid is attached (by aminoacyl-tRNA synthetases). tRNAs cope with the degeneracy of the genetic code in two manners: having more than one tRNA (with a specific anti-codon) for a particular amino acid; and 'wobble' base-pairing, i.e. permitting non-standard base-pairing at the 3rd anti-codon position. RNAcentral also lists the same sequence under 1 other name. The record is from RNAcentral.